GAUGAACGCUGGCGGCGUGCCUAAUACAUGCAAGUCGAGCGAACAGACGAGGAGCUUGCUCCUCUGACGUUAGCGGCGGACGGGUGAGUAACACGUGGAUUACCUACCUAUAAGACUGGGAUAACUUCGGGAAACCGGAGCUAAUACCGGAUAAUAUAUUGAACCGCAUGGUUCAAUAGUGAAAGACGGUUUUGCUGUCACUUAUAGAUGGAUCCGCGCCGCAUUAGCUAGUUGGUAAGGUAACGGCUUACCAAGGCGACGAUGCGUAGCCGACCUGAGAGGGUGAUCGGCCACACUGGAACUGAGACACGGUCCAGACUCCUACGGGAGGCAGCAGUAGGGAAUCUUCCGCAAUGGGCGAAAGCCUGACGGAGCAACGCCGCGUGAGUGAUGAAGGUCUUCGGAUCGUAAAACUCUGUUAUUAGGGAAGAACAAAUGUGUAAGUAACUAUGCACGUCUUGACGGUACCUAAUCAGAAAGCCACGGCUAACUACGUG
RNAcentral lists this ribosomal RNA (497 nucleotides) under uncultured bacterium. RNAcentral's name for it is "partial 16S ribosomal RNA". It matches the Rfam family "Bacterial small subunit ribosomal RNA", at positions 28 to 507 of the family's 1533-position model. The record is from RNAcentral.